This 241-nucleotide unclassified non-coding RNA is filed under the name plant metagenome. Its description in RNAcentral is "partial contains small subunit ribosomal RNA and internal transcribed spacer 1". The stretch from base 1 to 46 matches the Rfam family "Eukaryotic small subunit ribosomal RNA", at positions 1786 to 1831 of the family's 1831-position model. The record is from RNAcentral.
AAGUCGUAACAAGGUUUCCGUAGGUGAACCUGCGGAAGGAUCAUUAAAAGAGAUAGGGGUCUUCAUGGCCCGACCUCCAACCCUCUGUUGUUAUAACUACCUUUGUUGCUUUGGCGGGGCCGUCUCGGGUCCUCCGAGCGCACUAAACCCCUCGGGGUUGGUGAGCGCCCCGCCAGAGUCCAACCCAAAACUCUUGUAUUAAACCAGUCGUCUGAGUAUAAAAUUUUAAUUAAAUUAAAAA